AGCGAACGCUAGCGGCGGGCCUAACACAUGCAAGUCGAGCGGAGGGGCAACCCUCAGCGGCGAACGGGUGAGUAACACGUAGGUAAUGUACCCUCUGGUGGGGAAUAACCGUGGGAAACCAUGGCUAAUACCGCAUAUGUCUUUCGAGAUGAAAGCAGCAAUGCGCCAGAGGAGCAGCCUGCGGCCGAUUAUUUAGUCCUAGUUGGUGAGGUAAUGGCUCACCAAGGGUACGAUCGGUAGCUGGUCUGAGAGGAUGAUCAGCCACACUGGAACUGAGACACGGUCCAGACUCCUACGGGAGGCAGCAGUGGGGAAUAUUGCGCAAUGGGCGAAAGCCUGACGCAGCCACGCCGCGUGGGGGAUGAAGGUUUUCGGAUUGUAAACCCCCUUUCAUGAGGAAAGAUAAAGUGGGUAACCACUUAGACGGUACCUCAAGAAGAAGCCACGGCUAACUUCGUGCCAGCAGCCGCGGUUAAAGUCUAGCAUG
RNAcentral lists this ribosomal RNA (487 nucleotides) under uncultured bacterium. Its description in RNAcentral is "bacterial SSU rRNA". It matches the Rfam family "Bacterial small subunit ribosomal RNA", at positions 29 to 533 of the family's 1533-position model. The record is from RNAcentral.